AGUCCUGUGGGGAAUUAACAUAUUGAAUUGCAAAUUCAGAGAAGUAGCUUCAACUCUGCCGGGACUU
This 67-nucleotide transfer RNA is filed under the name Camelus bactrianus (Bactrian camel). It matches the Rfam family "tRNA". Rfam says of the family: Transfer RNA (tRNA) molecules are approximately 80 nucleotides in length. Their secondary structure includes four short double-helical elements and three loops (D, anti-codon, and T loops). RNAcentral also lists the same sequence under 2 other names. Lineage: Eukaryota; Metazoa; Chordata; Mammalia; Artiodactyla; Camelidae. The record is from Rfam by way of RNAcentral.